CGCUUUCUCCUUGUUUGUGGAAAUCCAUGGAGUCGCUCACAGUGCCCCCUGCUCAGCCUCACACUUCCAUCAUGCGCGCGCUGCUACUCCAAUGACGUCCGGGCCCCGCCAUGUAGGUUCUUCUCCCUGGUUGACUGCGAACGCCGUAACAAACCAAGCGGAUACGCUGGCGAAGAUCAAGGAUUAUGUUGGCCGAACUCGCAUACCUAUGCCUAUAAAAUUCAAGCUACCGCACUCUGUUCACCCCAACCUAGCCCGCAAGUCUCAGAGCAAAUCAAGCGCUAACAGAGAGAGAUCGGUGUGAGGGAAUCUACCGCCGCCAUCGAACCUAUGGGGGUUGGCGCAGGGACCUCGUCGAGCUUCUCGUGUGUGCGCUAGGGCAGGAGGGGAGCGUCCGCUUCAUCAAUUGGUGGGGUGUGGUCCCAGAGCCAUCACAAUUGCUCGCUGGAUCGAGGAAAUCCCCACCGUACCGCCAUCCUUUGUCACCAGGGCGCUGCGUGGCGCAAUUACUGGUCAAGAACAGAUACCACAGGAUGAGGCGCAUGAAGGAUGUUGUGAUGAGUUCGUGAGUGGUCUAGGCCAUCGUCUCCUAGUCAACUAUGGUUGCUAGAUCAUUGUCUUUGUAUGACGUAAUUAUUUAUAUAUUUUGUACAUAACUCCAUUAUAUAUUAAUGAUGUGACAUUCGUUUC
This is a long non-coding RNA of Zea mays, 690 nucleotides long. RefSeq lists it as uncharacterized. The record is from RefSeq and is a predicted model, not a curated record. The transcript is spliced from 2 exons. Lineage: Eukaryota; Viridiplantae; Streptophyta; Magnoliopsida; Poales; Poaceae.